Molecule: ribosomal RNA, 253 nt
Filed under: uncultured bacterium
Lineage: Bacteria
Description: partial 16S ribosomal RNA
Rfam family: Bacterial small subunit ribosomal RNA
Source: RNAcentral
UACGAAGGGGGCUAGCGUUGCUCGGAAUCACUGGGCGUAAAGCGCACGUAGGCGGCUUUGCAAGUCGGGUGUGAAAGCCUGGGGCUCAACCCCAGAAGUGCAUUCGAAACUGCAGAGCUUGAGUGUCGGAGAGGGUGGUGGAAUUCCGAGUGUAGAGGUGAAAUUCGUAGAUAUUCGGAGGAACACCAGUGGCGAAGGCGACCACCUGGACGAACACUGACGCUGAGGUGCGAAAGCGUGGGGAGCAAACAGG